UACGGAGGGUGCAAGCGUUGCUCGGAAUUAUUGGGCGUAAAGGGUAGGUAGGUGGUCUUAUUUGUCUGAGGUGAAAGCCUUGAGCUUAACUCAAGAAGUGCCUCGGAAACGGUGAGACUAGAGUCCUGGAGAGGGUCGUGGAAUUCCCGGUGUAGCGGUGAAAUGCGUAGAGAUCGGGAGGAACACCAGAGGCGAAGGCGGCGACCUGGACAGGCACUGACACUCAACUACGAAAGCGUGGGGAGCAAACAGG
Molecule: ribosomal RNA, 253 nt
Filed under: uncultured bacterium
Lineage: Bacteria
Description: partial 16S ribosomal RNA
Rfam family: Bacterial small subunit ribosomal RNA
Source: RNAcentral